GAAAUGCGAUAAGUAAUGUGAAUUGCAGAAUUCCGUGAAUCAUCGAAUCUUUGAACGCACAUUGCGCCCUCUGGUAUUCCGGGGGGCAUGCCUGUCCGAGCGUCAUUGCGAACCCUCAAGCCCGGCUUGCGUGAUGGGCGCCGUCCCCCUGCGGACGGGCCCCAAAGGCAGCGGCGGCGUCGCGGUUAUCCGAUCGGCCAGAGCGUAUGGGGACUCUCCGUCACACGCUCGCGGCGCGGACCGACGCCCGCCUAUUCUUGAUGACAAUCAUCUCUCAAGUUUGACCUCGGAUCAGGUAGGGAUACCCGCUGAACUUAA
Molecule: unclassified non-coding RNA, 318 nt
Filed under: uncultured Eurotiales
Lineage: Eukaryota; Fungi; Ascomycota; Eurotiomycetes; Eurotiales
Description: sequence contains ITS1
Rfam family: 5.8S ribosomal RNA (bases 1-105)
Source: RNAcentral